Molecule: ribosomal RNA, 552 nt
Filed under: uncultured bacterium
Lineage: Bacteria
Description: bacterial SSU rRNA
Rfam family: Bacterial small subunit ribosomal RNA
Source: RNAcentral
AAUAGAUACCCCGGUAGUCCACGCCGUAAACGAUGAGUGCUAAGUGUUAGGGGGUUUCCGCCCCUUAGUGGCUGCAGCUAACGCAUUAAGCACUCCGCCUGGGGAGUACGGUCGCAAGACUGAAACUCAAAGGAAUUGACGGGGGCCCGCACAAGCGGUGGAGCAUGUGGUUUAAUUCGAAGCAACGCGAAGAACCUUACCAGGUCUUGACAUCCCAUUGACCACUAUGGAGACAUAGUUUUCCCUUCGGGGACAACGGUGACAGGUGGUGCAUGGUUGUCGUCAGCUCGUGUCGUGAGAUGUUGGGUUAAGUCCCGCAACGAGCGCAACCCUUGUUCUUAGUUGCCAUCAUUUAGUUGGGCACUCUAAGGAGACUGCCGGUGACAAACCAGAGGAAGGUGGGGAUGACGUCAAAUCAUCAUGCCCCUUAUGACCUGGGCUACACACGUGCUACAAUGGACGGUACAAACGGUUGCCAACCCGCGAGGGGGAGCUAAUCCGAUAAAACCGUUCUCAGUUCGGAUUGUAGGCUGCAACUCGCCUACAUGAACG